Molecule: ribosomal RNA, 252 nt
Filed under: uncultured bacterium
Lineage: Bacteria
Description: partial 16S ribosomal RNA
Rfam family: Bacterial small subunit ribosomal RNA
Source: RNAcentral
UACGGAGGAUGCGAGCGUUAUCCGGAUUUAUUGGGUUUAAAGGGUGCGUAGGCGGAUUUUUAAGUCAGCGGUAAAAUGUCCGGGCUCAACCCGGGCCGGCCGUUGAAACUGGGGAUCUUGAGUGGGCGAGAAGUAUGCGGAAUGCGUGGUGUAGCGGUGAAAUGCAUAGAUAUCACGCAGAACCCCGAUUGCGAAGGCAGCAUACCGGCGCCCUACUGACGCUGAGGCACGAAAGUGCGGGGAUCAAACAGG